Molecule: ribosomal RNA, 460 nt
Filed under: uncultured bacterium
Lineage: Bacteria
Description: partial 16S ribosomal RNA
Rfam family: Bacterial small subunit ribosomal RNA
Source: RNAcentral
CCUACGGGUGGCAGCAGUGAGGAAUAUUGGUCAAUGGGCGAGAGUCUGAACCAGCCAAGUAGCGUGAAGGAUGACAGCCCUAUGGGUUUUAAACUUCUUUUAUAUGGGAAUAAAGUGCUCCACGUGUGGGAUUUUGUAUGUACCAUAUGAAUAAGGAUCGGCUAACUCCGUGCCAGCAGCCGCGGUAAUCCGGAGGAUCCGAGCGUUAUCCGGAUUUAUUGGGUUUAAAGGGAGCGUAGGUGGAUUGUUAAGUCAGGUGUGAAAGUUUGCGGCUCAACCGUAAAAUUGCAGUUGAAACUGGUAGGAUUGAGUAUAGUAGAGGUGGGUGGAAUUCGUGGUGUAGCGGUGAAAUGCUUAGAUAUCACGAAGAACUCCGAUUGCGAAGGCAGCUUACUGGACCGUAACUGACACUGAGGCUCGAAAGUGUGGGUAUCAAACAGGAUUAGAUACCCCUGUAGUC